Molecule: long non-coding RNA, 467 nt
Filed under: Salvator merianae (Argentine black and white tegu)
Lineage: Eukaryota; Metazoa; Chordata; Lepidosauria; Squamata; Teiidae
Description: lncRNA (ENSSMRG00000014310.1)
Source: RNAcentral
AUCUUGGGAAUUUGUUGAAACAUCUCCCUCCUCUCUGUUCAACUGAUCUACCAGUGGGUCACUCAAAUAAAAUGUUCCUUAUCUAUGCUGUUGUGCUGCACUAAGAGAUGAAGGUGGUACAACCAUGCCAUCAGAAAUGUCCUGCUGGAUUGCCCUUAAUAGCCCUGACUUCCAUGAAUCAAUCCGAAUCUCUUCUGAAACCAUCCAAGCUGGUGGACAAAGCCACAUCUCAUGGUAAAUUCCAAAAUAUAACUUUGUGUUGUAUAUUUAUAAAAAAUCUGUUUGUCCUGAUUCCUCCAGAAUUCAGCUUGAGAGAGUCUGAAAUGAAAACCAGAACAGAAGGAGGAAAGCGGAGGGGAAAGAAAGCUUUUCCUGCUGGAUUAUGGAAGAAAUGUUAUCCACGCGGAAAUGUGGGGCAUUUGAGAAAGAUGUGUCCACAGCAGAAAUCUAAGUGUGAACAGAGUUAG